RNAcentral lists this ribosomal RNA (1615 nucleotides) under Marginopora vertebralis. Its description in RNAcentral is "SSU rRNA". It matches the Rfam family "Eukaryotic small subunit ribosomal RNA", at positions 76 to 1361 of the family's 1831-position model. The record is from RNAcentral. Lineage: Eukaryota; Foraminifera; Miliolida; Soritidae.
UACUAAUGCAACUGCGAAUAGCUGUUUAAUACAGUCGUAAUUGUAUUGACUUAAUAUAUAAUGUUAAUAAUAGUUAUUUAUAGGAUAACUAAGGGAAAGUUUGGCUAAUACGUUUUAACAGUAUUAAUUUUUAAUACACAUAUAAUAAUAUUAUAAUAUGAUAAAUAUUAUAUAAAUAUUUUAAUACAAAUAAUAUUUGUAUUAAUAUAUAGAGUUGACUUUAUAAUAUUUAUUUAUUAUAAAGCAUGUCAAACAAGCAUCUAUAGCAUCAAGUCACAAUGUUGGCAUGUGUAUUAUUGAACCUUCAAAGCAUUUACGCAUUCGGAGGAGUAGUUUCUGAUCCCGUCGAAGGUGCCUGAGAGACGGCACUUAGUUCUAAGGAACGCAGCAGGCGCGUAAAUUGCCCAAUGACAAAACAUGUUAUAAAAUAUAUUAAUAUAUAUAAAUACUCAAUAUUUAUUGAGGCAGUGACAAGCUGUAAAGAUUGAAUAUAUUAAUUAAGAUAACAUUUGGAAUUGUCGUUUUAUAAUAUUUUUUAAUAUUAUAUUACUUGAUAAUAUACCAAUGUUAUAAAAUAUUCAAUUUGAAUGCGGUGAAUGUAAUAAUUUCAAGUAACAUGUAUAAAAUAUUUAUAUUUUAUUAGUUAUCUGAAUUUUCAAGUGGAGGGCAAGUCUGGUGCCAGCAGCCGCGGUAAUACCAGCUCCACUAGCUUAUACAAUCAUUGUUGCGGUUAAGAGGCUCGUAGUUGGAUUGAAUAAAAACAUAUAUACACAAUACUGUGAACAAACCAGAGUGUAUAAAACAUGUAAUAUAUUAUAUAUUUAGCAAUGAAUGUUUUAUCAUGGAAUAUUGCUAUAAUGAAUAUUAAUUAUCGAUGGAGAUAGUUGGAGUUAAGAGUACUGAUAGGCGAGCGGUGAAAUGCAUUGACCCUAUUAAGACUAACAAAAGCGAAAGCACUUAACUAGAUUAUUCUCUUUGUAUUAUUUUACAAUGAAGAGCGAAGGUUGGGGGAACAAAGAGGAUCAGAUACCCUCGUAGUCCUAUUUUUACAUCAAACUAUGGGAUUUCAUUCACACAAAAACACUAUAAACAUUAUAAUUAUAAUUAUGAUUGAGUAUAUGUCAAAAUAUUACUCUCAUAUUAAAUAAUUAUUAUAAUAUAUGAUUAUAUGUACUUUGAGCUCAUAUAAUUAUAUAGGUGAGAUGUAAGCAUUAUAAAGUGAAUAAUAUACAAGUAAUAUUGUAUUAUUAUGAUCUUUAAAAUAAAAAAUGUAAUGUGAUGCACGUUUUAGGUACGAGCUUACUAUAGAAAUAUUUAAAAUAAUACCCUCCUGGGGUAGUAUGCACGCAAGUGUGAAACUUGAAGGAAUUGACGGAAGGGCACCACAAGAACGCGUGGAGCAUGUGGCUUAAUUUGACUCAACCCGGGAAAUCUUACCAGGUCCAGACAUAUUGAGGAUUGACAGGCGAUAGUAUAUAAUUCAAUAUUAUAUGCAUAAAAAUGAUAGUCCUUUCAUGAUUAUAUGAUAGGUGGUGCAUGGCCGUUCUUAGUUCGUGGAGUGAUUUGUCUGCUUAAUUGCGUUUCAGUAAAUAAAAUAUAUAAUAUAUUAUAAUAU